ACCGCCCGUCACACCAUGGGAGCGGGAUGUACCAGAAGCAGCUAGCCUAACCGACAAGGAAGGGCGGUUGCCACGGUGACGUUUCGUGACUGGGGUG
This 97-nucleotide ribosomal RNA is filed under the name uncultured bacterium. RNAcentral's name for it is "partial 16S ribosomal RNA". The record is from RNAcentral.